UGGUAGCAAUGAAACGGAGAGGAGUUUUUUGCGAUACUGUCUUAAUUAUGUGAUUUGAAUGGACCUUUUCUUUUAAGAAUGUUUGCUUUCUAUCCGGCCGGCUUCCCCGCCAAUUAACUUACCUCUCCCACCUUCACGCCCUCCUCGUCUUUUAUUACAUAUAUAUUUUAUUAGAAUCAGAAAGACAGAUCAGAAGCUAGCGCCUAUUUACUCGGAGCCGACAUCUUCGACUCUCGUAUGAAUAAUUGGUACCGCACAUUUUUCAGAUAUUGACACAUCAGCCUAGCUAGCCUAGGAGAACCAAAGGAGCUCAGCGACCAGGUCAAGUAUUAGUAGUACUGGACCAUGCAUGUAUGAACAGAUCAGAUAAAUAUUAAUGUUAUUAUUAUCCUAAUUAAAUUUUGAUAUAAUUUCCAAUAUACUUGUUAAGGGUGUUCAAUAAUUUUUGUUAAAAAAUAUAAAACCAUCUAAAAUAUCAUGUAUAAUUAUAAAUUAUAAAAUUUAAUUAGAAUUAAUAUCACUCACAAGAUAAGUUAUAUUAAUGCCUUCUCAUGAUCAGUUUAAAUGGCACAGUAUAUAUAUAUAUAUAGGCCGUUCCCUUUCAGCCGGGAGGCCAGGGAGUAGAAUUGAGAGAUCAAUAAUGCAGCAUGCAGCCAUUCAUGGAUUAAUCAAGCAAUGUGUCCAGUGAGUUAAGUCCUACGUUUUGCUAGCUGUUCGCCCUACGUACGCAUACACCGACCAACCCAAUUCUUUCUUGCUGAGACUUAAGAAACUGAUACGCAUUCAUUUCAGACACGAUCGAAUUCAUUUCAGACAACUUUCGAUGGAAUUAUCGAUUAAGUUCAGAAUGUAUAUAUUACACGAUCGAUCUCACUAGUAUUAUUUUUCUACAGCAGGCUUGCACGUACGCGACGCACACAGAAAGUAAGAUUGUACUUCAAAAUACGCACAUCAUGCAUGGACAAUGCAAACACUCAGAGAGAGAGAGAGAGAGAGAGAGAGAGAGAAGGUGAUGCAAACCGGGUAUACAAUCUGGAGAAAGGCGCAGCAGUACUGCCAAAAUCUCACAGCCAUUUUCGAUUUCCCAUAUGCUUUGCUUUUUUAUCUUCAUUUUUCUCUUGAGAAACAGUGUGGAAUAUUGAUCAGAAGCUCACAAAAAGAUCCAAGAGAGGGAGGAGGAGGCCGCCGAUAUAUAUAUAUAUAUAUAUAUGGGUACGUGGUUUUAUUUGGGAACGAAUUGGUUUUCUAAGCCAUGGCCAAGCAAUAAUGUCGACAUUAUAUAUAUGUUUUGAUAUUACUUGCCCAAAAAUAAUGUCGACAUUGUU
This is a long non-coding RNA of Juglans microcarpa x Juglans regia, 1325 nucleotides long. RefSeq lists it as uncharacterized. NCBI's taxonomy places the organism in Eukaryota, Viridiplantae, Streptophyta, Magnoliopsida, Fagales, Juglandaceae. The record is from RefSeq and is a predicted model, not a curated record. The transcript is spliced from 2 exons.